RNAcentral lists this ribosomal RNA (495 nucleotides) under uncultured bacterium. RNAcentral's name for it is "partial 16S ribosomal RNA". It matches the Rfam family "Bacterial small subunit ribosomal RNA", at positions 28 to 507 of the family's 1533-position model. The record is from RNAcentral.
GACGACCGCUGGCGGCGUGCCUAAUACAUGCAAGUAGAACGCUGAAGGAGGAGCUUGCUUCUCUGGAUGAGUUGCGAACGGGUGAGUAACGCGUAGGUAACCUGCCUGGUAUCGGGGGGUAACUAUUGGAAACGAUAGCUAAUACCGCAUAAUAGUAUAUGUUGCAUGACAUUUGCCUAAAAUGUGCAAUUGCAUCACUACCAGAUGGACUUGCGUUGUUUUAGCUAGUUGGUGGGUUAACGGCUCACCAAGGCGACGAUACAUAGACGACCGGAGAGGGUGAUCGUCAACACUGGGACUGGGACAGGGCCCAGACUCCUACGGGAGGCAGCAGUAGGGAAUCGUAGGCAAUGGAAGGAAGUCUGACCGAGCACCGCCGCGUGAGUGAAGAAGGUUUCCGGAUCGUGAAGCUCUGUUGUAAGAGAAGAACGAGUGUGAGAGUGGAAAGGUCACACUGUGACGGUAUCUUACCAGAAAGGGACGGCUAACUACGUG